UACGUAGGUGACGAGCGUUAUCCGGAAUUACUGGGCGUAAAGCGCACGCAAGCGGUUGGACAAGUCUGGCGUGAAAUCUCCUGGCUUAACUAGGAGCGGUCGCUGGAAACCGUUCGGCUUGAGGCGAUGAGAGGGGUGCAGAAUUCCACGUGUAGCAGUGAAAUGCGUAGAGAUGUGGAGGAAUACCGAUGGCGAAGGCAGCCCCCUGGGUCGAUACUGACGCUCAUGCACGAAAGCGUGGGGAGCAAACAGG
This 253-nucleotide ribosomal RNA is filed under the name uncultured prokaryote. RNAcentral's name for it is "partial 16S ribosomal RNA". It matches the Rfam family "Bacterial small subunit ribosomal RNA", at positions 524 to 776 of the family's 1533-position model. The record is from RNAcentral.